This 112-nucleotide ribosomal RNA is filed under the name Ligilactobacillus salivarius. RNAcentral's name for it is "partial 23S ribosomal RNA". It matches the Rfam family "Bacterial large subunit ribosomal RNA", at positions 2815 to 2925 of the family's 2925-position model. Lineage: Bacteria; Bacillati; Bacillota; Bacilli; Lactobacillales; Lactobacillaceae. The record is from RNAcentral.
CAUUACGUAAGUAAGUAAGAUCCCUGAAAGAUGAUCAGGUAGAUAGGAUGGAAGUGGAAGUGCUGUGAGGCAUGGAGCGGACCAUUACUAAUCGAUCGAGGACUUAACCAAG